Molecule: ribosomal RNA, 403 nt
Filed under: uncultured bacterium
Lineage: Bacteria
Description: partial 16S ribosomal RNA
Rfam family: Bacterial small subunit ribosomal RNA
Source: RNAcentral
GACGAACGCUGGCGGCGUGCCUAAUACAUGCAAGUCGAACGCAGUGGGGACGGGUGAGUAACACGUGGGUAACCUCCCAUCAGAGGGGAUAACCGUUGGAAACAGGUGCUAACCCGCUAUUGGUGGAUGGACCCGCGGUGCAUUAGCUAGUUGGUGGGGUAACGGCUUACCAAGGCCACGAUGCAUAGCCGACCUGAGAGGGUGAUCGGCCACACUGGGACUGAGACACGGCCCAGACUCCUACGGGAGGCAGCAGUAGGGAAUCUUCGGCAAUGGACGAAAGUCUGACCGAGCAACGCCGCGUGAGUGAAGAAGGUUUUCGGAUCGUAAAGCUCUGUUGUUGGAGAAGCGGUAUCUAACCAGAAAGCCACGGCUAACUACGUGCCAGCAGCCGCGGUAAUUC